This 253-nucleotide ribosomal RNA is filed under the name uncultured bacterium. Its description in RNAcentral is "partial 16S ribosomal RNA". It matches the Rfam family "Bacterial small subunit ribosomal RNA", at positions 524 to 776 of the family's 1533-position model. The record is from RNAcentral.
UACGUAGGGGGCAAGCGUUGUCCGGAAUCAUUGGGCGUAAAGAGCGUGUAGGCGGCCAGAUAAGUCCGCUGUGAAAUCUCGAGGCUCAACUUCGAGCUGUCGGUGGAAACUGUCUGGCUAGAGUCCGGAAGAGGAGAAUGGAAUUCCUGGUGUAGCGGUGAAAUGCGCAGAUAUCAGGAAGAACACCAACGGCGAAGGCAGCUCGCUAGGACGGUACUGACGCUGAGACGCGAAAGCUAGGGGAGCAAACAGG